Molecule: small nuclear RNA, 106 nt
Organism: Piliocolobus tephrosceles (Ugandan red Colobus)
Lineage: Eukaryota; Metazoa; Chordata; Mammalia; Primates; Cercopithecidae
Source: Ensembl
UUUGGCGGCAUAUUUACUGGAAAAAAAAAAAAAUGGAAUGAUACAGAGAUUAGCAUUGCCCACGUGCAAGAAUGACAUGCAAAUUUGUGAAGCAUUCUAUAUUUGC